UAAAGGUUUGGUCCUAGCCUUUUUAUUAAUUACUAGCAGGAUUACACAUGCAAGCAUCUACAUACCCGUGAAAAUGCCCUCAACAUCCACAAGAGAUUUAAAGGAGCCGGUAUCAAGCACACAUUGUAGCUCAAAACACCUUGCUAAGCCACACCCCCACGGGAAACAGCAGUGAUAAAACUUAAGCAAUAAACGAAAGUUUGACUAAGUCAUGCAUAAACAGAGCUGGCCAACUUCGUGCCAGCCGCCGCGGUCAUACGACGAGCUCUAAUUAAUAAACUACGGCGUAAAGAGUGUUUAAGAAGUGCUAAUAUACUAAGAGAGAACUUAGUUUAAGUCGUAAAAAACCUUAACUAAAGUAAACUAACUGACGAAAGUACUCUUAUAUAAUCUGAAUACACGACAGCUAAGGCCCAAACUGGAUUAGAUACCCCACUAUGCUUAGCCGUAAACAACAACAUUUACAUAACAAAAAUCUUCGCCGGAGAACUACUAGCCACAGCUAAAAACUCAAAGGACUUGGCGGCACUUCACAUCCCUCUAGAGGAGCUUGUUCUAUAAUCGAUAAACCCCGAUAAACCUCACCACCUUUUGCCAAACCAGCCUAUAUACCGCCAUCUUCAGCAAACCUUUCAAAGAACAGAAGUAAGCAAGAGAACCUACCGUUAAAAAGUUAGGUCAAGGUGUAGCCAAUAAAGUGGUAAGAAAUGAGCUACAUUUCUAAAAUUUAGAAAUACACGAAAUCCAUUAUGAAAACUAAAGGAUGAAGGAGGAUUUAGUAGUAAAUUAAGAAUAGAGAGCUUAAUUGAAUAAGGCCAUGAAGAGCGCACACACCGCCCGUCACCCUCCUCAAAUAUACCCAUUCAAAUUUAUCUAUAAAAUAAUUAACCUGGUAUUCAGAGGAGAUAAGUCGUAACAAGGUAAGCAUACUGGAAAGUGUGCUUGGAAAACA
This 952-nucleotide non-coding RNA is filed under the name Ctenodactylus vali (Val's gundi). RNAcentral describes it as "12S ribosomal RNA". It matches the Rfam family "Bacterial small subunit ribosomal RNA". The record is from RNAcentral. Lineage: Eukaryota; Metazoa; Chordata; Mammalia; Rodentia; Ctenodactylidae.